This 678-nucleotide ribosomal RNA is filed under the name uncultured bacterium. RNAcentral describes it as "bacterial SSU rRNA". It matches the Rfam family "Bacterial small subunit ribosomal RNA", at positions 8 to 653 of the family's 1533-position model. The record is from RNAcentral.
AGAGUUUGAUCAUGGCUCAGAACGAACGCUGGCGGCGUGGCUAAGACAUGCAAGUCGUACGAUACGUUGUAGCAAUAUGGCGUAUAGUGGCGGACGGGUGAGUAAUGAAUAGGUAACGCACCCCGGGCACAGGGAUAACGUCGGGCGAAAGCCCUUUGCGAAAGUGACGGUAAUACCUGGUGACGCCCUCGAGUGGCAUCGCUUGAGGAUCAGAGGUGGGGACCUUCGGGCCUACCGGCCUGGGAGCGGCCUAUUUCCUAUCAGCUUGUUGGCGAGGUAACGGCUCACCAAGGCAACGACGGGUAACCGGACUGAGAGGUUGGCCGGUCACAUCGGGACUGAGACACUGCCCGGACAUCUACGGAUGGCUGCAGUAACGAAUAUUCCGCAAUGGGCGCAAGCCUGACGGAGCGACGCCGCGUGGAGGACGAAGUCCUUCGGGAUGUAAACUCCUUUUAGGGUUAGGAAAGCAGAGCGCGCUAAUACCGCGCCGCGCUGAUCCAUCCCAGAAAAAGCAUCGGCUAAUCCCGUGCCAGCAGCCGCGGUAAUACGGGAGAUGCGAGCGUUGUUCGGAAUCACUGGGCUUAAAGCGCGUGUAGGCGGCUCGGUAAGUACCUUGUGAAAUCCCACGUCUCAAACGUGGAACUGCUUGGUGUACUGCCGUGCUCGAGGUUGGUA